CAGCCGCGUAAUUCCAGCUCCAAUAGCGUAUAUUAAAGUUGUUGCAGUUAAAAAGCUCGUAGUUGAAUUUCGAGACCGGUUUACUGGUCGUGCUUUUGUACGUACUGGUAUUAUUGGUUUCUCCUUUCUGACGAAUCAUAAUGCCAUUAAUUUGGUGUUUUGGGGAAUCAGGACUGUUACUUUGAAAAAAUUAGAGUGUUUAAAGCAGGCUCACGCUUGAAUACAUUAGCAUGGAAUAACGAAAUAGGACGUUUGAUUUUAUUUUGUUGGUUUCUAGGAUCGACGUAAUGAUUAAUAGGGAUAGUUGGGGGCAUUAGUAUUCAAUUGUCAGAGGUGAAAUUCUUGGAUUUAUUGAAGACUAACUACUGCGAAAGCAUUUGCCAAGGAUGUUUUCAUUAAUCAAGAACGAAAGUUAGGGGAUCGAAGACGAUCAGAUACCGUCGUAGUCUUAACCAUAAACUAUGCCGACUAGGGAUCGGAUGAUGUUAAUUUUUUAAUGACUCAUUCGGCGCCUUACG
RNAcentral lists this non-coding RNA (518 nucleotides) under uncultured Glomus. RNAcentral describes it as "SSU rRNA". It matches the Rfam family "Eukaryotic small subunit ribosomal RNA", at positions 571 to 1092 of the family's 1831-position model. Lineage: Eukaryota; Fungi; Glomeromycota; Glomeromycetes; Glomerales; Glomeraceae. RNAcentral also lists the same sequence under 1 other name. The record is from RNAcentral.